RNAcentral lists this ribosomal RNA (1522 nucleotides) under metagenome. Its description in RNAcentral is "bacterial SSU rRNA". It matches the Rfam family "Bacterial small subunit ribosomal RNA". The record is from RNAcentral.
AGAGUUUGAUCCUGGCUCAGAAUGAACGCUGGCGGCGUGCUUGAUACAUGCAAGUCGAACGAGAAAGUCUUAGCUUGCUAGGACGAGUAAAGUGGCGCACGGGUGAGUAACGCGUGGGUAAUCUGCCCUUGAAUUUGGAAUAACUUAUCGAAAGAUUAGCUAAUACCGGAUAACAUUGUCAUUACUUAGGUAAUGACAAUCAAAGAUAGCCUCUAUUUAUAAGCUAUUGUUUUAGGAGGAGCCCGCGUACCAUUAGCUUGUUGGUAGGGUAAAGGCCUACCAAGGCUACGAUGGUUAGCUGGUCUGAGAGGAUGAUCAGCCACACUGGAACUGACACACGGUCCAGACUCCUACGGGAGGCAGCAGUAAGGAAUUUUGCGCAAUGGGGGAAACCCUGACGCAGCAACGCCGCGUGAGUGAUGAAGGCCCUCGGGUCGUAAAGCUCUGUCAAGUGGGAAGAAAUUUUUAUAAGUUAAUAGCUUAUAUUUUUGACGGUACCGCUGAAGGAAGCACCGGCUAACUCCGUGCCAGCAGCCGCGGUAAUACGGAGGGUGUAAGCGUUAUUCGGAAUUAUUGGGCGUAAAGGGCGCGUAGGCGGCUAUAUAAGUCAGAUGUGAAAGCCCUGGGCUUAACCCAGGAAGUGCAUUUGAAACUAUAUAGCUUGAGUAUGAGAGAGGGAAGUGGAAUUCCUGGUGUAGAGGUGAAAUUCGUAGAUAUCAGGAAGAACACCGGUGGCGAAGGCGGCUUCCUGGAUCAAUACUGACGCUGAGGCGCGAAGGCGUGGGGAGCAAACAGGAUUAGAUACCCUGGUAGUCCACGCAGUAAACGGUGAUCACUAGGUGUAGCAGAAUAUAAUUUGCUGUGCCGUAGCUAACGUAUUAAGUGAUCCGCCUGGGGAAUACGAACGCAAGUUUAAAACUCAAAGGAAUUGACGGGGGCCCGCACAAGCGGUGGAGCAUGUGGUUCAAUUCGACACAACGCGAAGAACCUUACCUAGAUUUGACAUCUCAGGAAUUUUUAUGAAAAUAGAAAGUGCCUCUUUGAGGAGCCUGAUGACAGGUGCUGCAUGGCUGUCGUCAGCUCGUGUCGUGAGAUGUUCGGUUAAGUCCGGCAACGAGCGCAACCCUUAUCUUUAGUUACCAUUAUUAAGUUAGGGACUCUAAAGAUACUGCCCCGGUAAACGGGGAGGAAGGUGGGGAUGACGUCAAGUCCUCAUGGCCUUUAUAUCUAGGGCUACACACGUGCUACAAUGGGCAAGACAAAGGGUAGCAAUCUCGCAAGAGUGAGCUAAUCUCAAAAACUUGCUCUCAGUUCGGAUUGGAGUCUGCAACUCGACUCCAUGAAGUUGGAAUCGCUAGUAAUCGCGGAUCAGCAUGCCGCGGUGAAUACGUUCCCGGGCCUUGUACACACCGCCCGUCACACCAUGAGAGUUGGUUGUACCAGAAGUUGUUGGGCUAACCUUUUUUAAGGGGGCAGACACCUAAGGUAUGGCUGAUGAUUGGGGUGAAGUCGUAACAAGGUA